ACCCGCUGAACUUAAGCAUAUUGCUAAGCGCAGGAAAAUAAAACAACCGUGACUCUCAUAGUAACUGCGAGUGAAGUGAGAAAAGCCCAACGUUAAAAGCUGCAUCUUGACGGAUGUCGCGUUGUAACGUAUAGAUGUGUUCUCAAGAUAAAAACAUAUGUUAAAGUUACAUAGAGUGGUACGCCAUAGAGGGUUAUAGCCCCGUGCAUGACAUAUGUAGUAAUUUUAUCAAGUAAACACAAUCUAAGAGUCGUGUUGUUUGGGAUUGCAACACUAAGUAGUUGGUAAACUUCAGCUAAGGCUAAAUACUAACACGAGACCGAUAGCAAACAAGUACCGUGAGGGAAAGUUGAAAAGUAAUCUGAAAAGACAGUUAAAAGUACGUGAAACUCUCUAUAGAGGAAGCAAACAGCUGAAUCGAAGCAUUUUUAUGAUUAGGUGAUUAAUUUUUAAUUAUCCCCCUCAUAUUAAUUGCGCGCUGGGCUUGUCAUGUUUGUAUGAAUUUACGUUAAAUGCACGCCAAUAAUAUUAGUUUAAUUCUGUGAUGGUUAAAUUAUUAACUAAAUAUCUUUAAAUAAUAUUGAUUUGCUAUAAGGUGCAUAACAUGACAUGGGCUAAUAUGUAAAAGCAGUUUGUUUAAGCGAAUAUUUUAUUAAAAGAACUAUACACUGUUAAGUUUAUAGAACUUUUAAUUUUUAUAGCCAAACUAACGUAUUCUCAGCGAGAUAAACUGUGGUUUGACCCGUCUUGAAACACGGACCAAGGAGGCUAACGUAUACGCGAGUCAAGGGGAAACAUGAAUGUGUUGUUCGAUAAAACCCUAUGGCGUAAUGAAAGUAAAAAACGAUAUCUUUAAAUUGCGAUUAUUGAGAGCAUCGUUGGCCAUUUCAAUUCAUUGGAAUUUUAAUGAGCUGGAGCGUAUGCGAUAGGACCCGAAAGAUGGUGAACUAUGCCUGAGUAGAAUGAAGCCAGAGGAAACUCUGGUGGAGGUUCGAAGCGAUUCUGACGUGCAAUUCGAUCGUCAAACUUGGGUAUAGGGGCGAAAGACUAAUCGAACCAUCUAGUAGCUGGUUCCCUCCGAAAUAUCCCUCAGGAUAGCUGGAGCCUGAGCCAAGAGCAGUUUCAUCGGGUAGAGCUAAUGAUUAGAGGAAUUAGGGUCAUAACAGAUCUUAACCUAUUCUCAAACUGCGAACCGGUGAGAAAAAUAAUAUUGCUUAUGUGUAUGACUUCGGUUAUAUGUUGAAUAUUAUUUGUGAAUGCUAGGGCUCCAAGUGGGCCGUUUCUGGUAAGCAGAACUGGCGAUGCGGGAUGAACCGAGAGCUAAGUUAAGGUGCCUAAAUAAACGCCAAUGGACACCACUAAAGGAGUUGGUCGAUGAAGACAGCAGGACGGUGGCCCUGAAAGUAGGAAUCCGCUAAGGAGUGUCUAACAACUCACCUGCCGAAUCGACUGGCCCUGAAGAUGGAUGGCGCUUAGAGCGUUUUACCGAUACUUGGCCAUCAACAUUAGUGUGUGAUACAUGUUGAUGGGUAGGAGGGCGCAAAGGUAGCGAUGAAGGUUACGGUGUAAACCAAAUUGGAGCUGUCUUUGGUGCGGAUCUUGGUGGUAGUAGCAGUUUAUUCAAGUGAAACGCUUGAAGGCCGAAGAGGAGAAGGGUUCCGCGUAAACAUCAUUUGAACGCGGGUUAGUCGGUCCUAAGUGGCAGCCUACAUGCUGAUAUCAAAGGAGAUUAUUUGCAUAAGUUUAUAAUGGAUUUAAUAGUUUUGUUAUAGGUUUAUGUAACUCUCAUUACGACCGAAAGGGAAUUCAGGUUUAAUAUUUCCUGAACCAGGUGACGGAUAGUUUUAUAUAGUGAAUAUAAUAUUUUAUAUGUUAUUUGGUAUAUAGAUGCAGCGGUAACGCAAACGAACUCAGAGACAUCUUUAGGCAGUCCUAGGAAGAGUUAUCUUCUCUGUUUAACGAAAUGACACCCUGGAAUUGAGUCAUUCAGAGAUAGGGGUUGAGACUUCGGAAGAGCAUCGCACUUUUUGUGAUGUCUGGUGCGCUGUCUAAGAUCCUUGAAAAAUCUGAGGGAGUGAAUGAUUAUCGUGCCUGGCCGUACCGUAAUCCGCAACAGGUCUCCAAGGUGAACAGCCUCUGGCACUAGAAUAAUGUGGGUAAGGGAAGUCGGCAAAAUAGAUUCGUAACUUCGGGAUAAGGAUUGGCUCUAUGGAUUGGGCUAAUCGGGUUAACUUGCCUAAUAUAAAUGCGUUUGUAAUUGAGUUUGAUUAAGAAAUGCAGUAAUGUGGAUAAUUUUUGAGUUUGACUACUUAUGUGUUUUAUUAAGUAGUUAACUUGGUAAGUAUAUUGGUGUUGUUCACUCAAUGUCUUUAUAUUUAUCGUUACGGUUAGCUAAGAUCAAUCAACAUAGAACUGUCACUAACAAGGGGAAUCCGACUGUUUAAUUAAAACAAAGCAUUGCGAUGGCUAUAAAUAGUGUUGACGCAAUGUGAUUUCUGCCCAGUGCUCUGAAUGUCAAAGUGUGGAAACACAACCAAGCGCGGGUAAACGGCGGGUGUAACUAUGACUCUCUCAAGAUAGCCAAAUGCCUCGUCAUCUAAUUAGUGACGCGCAUGAAUGGAUCAACGAGAUUCCCACUGUCCCUACCUUCCAUCUAGCGAAACCACAGUCAAGGGAACGGGCUUGACUGAGACAGCGGGGAAAGAAGACCCUGUUGAGCUUGACUCUAGUUUGAUAUGGUUAGGAGACAUGAGAGGUGUAGCGUAGGUGGGAGAAUUGAUAAUUUAUUAUCUUUUCGGCCUUGAAACACCACCACUUUCAUUGUUUCCUCACUUAAUCGGUAAUGAGGGAAGUGCCCAGCGGAUUCUUAUGCUGUAGUUUCUACAUGGUCAAAAGCCAUGCUAGUUCUACAUAUAGUGUAUGUAUGAAACUGGUGUCACGUAUACUAAGAAUUGUAAGACAAUUGGUGUUGAUAAUGUUGCCAUGUAUACAUGAAUGUAAUAUUAUUGAUACUUUAACUAAUUGUUAACCCCAACUACGUUUUUAACGUGUGUGUGACCGAUGACAGUGUCAGAUGGGGAGUUUGGCUGGGGCGGUACACCCUCUAAAAUGCAACGAGGGUGUCCAAAGGUGAGCUCACGGUGGACAGAAACCACCGGUAGAGUAUAAGGGCAAAAGCUCGCUUGAUUUUGAUUUUCAGUAUGAAUACAAACCACGAAAGUGUGGCCUAGCGAUCCUUUAUAAUGACCUGAAAGUUUCAGGAUAGAGGUGUCAGAAAAGUUACCACAGGGAUAACUGGCUUGUGGCUGCCAAGCGAACAUAGCGACGUAGCUUUUUGAUCCUUCGAUGUCGGCUCUUCCUAUCAUUGCGCAGCAGCAUACGCAAAGUGUUGGAUUGUUCACCCGCUAACAGGGAACGUGAGCUGGGUUUAGAC
RNAcentral lists this ribosomal RNA (3433 nucleotides) under Sphaeromyxa longa. Its description in RNAcentral is "eukaryotic LSU rRNA". It matches the Rfam family "Eukaryotic large subunit ribosomal RNA", at positions 23 to 2968 of the family's 3401-position model. Lineage: Eukaryota; Metazoa; Cnidaria; Myxozoa; Bivalvulida; Sphaeromyxidae. The record is from RNAcentral.